AACGCUUUGCGGUUCAACUGAUUUGAAGAGCUUGCUCAGAUAUGACGAUGGACAUUGCAAAGAGUGGCGAACGGGUGAGUAACACGUGGGAAACCUACCUCUUAGCAGGGGAUAACAUUUGGAAACAGAUGCUAAUACCGUAUAACAAUGACAACCGCAUGGUUGUUAUUUAAAAGAUGGUUCUGCUAUCACUAAGAGAUGGUCCCGCGGUGCAUUAGCUAGUUGGUAAGGUAAUGGCUUACCAAGGCGAUGAUGCAUAGCCGAGUUGAGAGACUGAUCGGCCACAAUGGGACUGAGACACGGCCCAUACUCCUACGAGAGGCAGCAGUAGGGAAUCUUCCACAAUGGGCGAAAGCCUGAUGGAGCAACGCCGCGUGUGUGAUGAAGGGAUUCGGCUCGUAAAACACUGUUGUAAGAGAAGAAUGACAUUGAGAGUAACUGUUCAAUGUGUGACGGUAUCUUACCAGAAAGGAACGGCUAAAUACGUGCCAGCAGCCGCGGUAAUACGUAUGUUCCAAGCGUUAUCCGGAUUUAUUGGGCGUAAAGCGAGCGCAGACGGUUAUUUAAGUCUGAAGUGAAAGCCCUCAGCUCAACUGAGGAACUGCUUUGGAAACUGGAUGACUUGAGUGCAGUAGAGGAAAGUGGAACUCCAUGUGUAGCGGUGAAAUGCGUAGAUAUAUGGAAGAACACCAGUGGCGAAGGCGGCUUUCUGGACUGUAACUGACGUUGAGGCUCGAAAGUGUGGGUAGCAAACAGGAUUAGAUACCCUGGUAGUCCACACCGUAAACGAUGAGUGCUAGGUGUUUGAGGGUUUCCGCCCUUAAGUGCCGCAGCUAACGCAUUAAGCACUCCGCCUGGGGAGUACGACCGCAAGGUUGAAACUCAAAGGAAUUGACGGGGACCCGCACAAGCGGUGGAGCAUGUGGUUUAAUUCGAAGCAACGCGAAGAACCUUACCAGGUCUUGACAUCCCUUGACAACUCCAGAGAUGGAGCGUUCCCUUCGGGGACAAGGUGACAGGUGGUGCAUGGUUGUCGUCAGCUCGUGUCGUGAGAUGUUGGGUUAAGUCCCGCAACGAGCGCAACCCUUAUUACUAGUUGCCAGCAUUCAGUUGGGCACUCUAGUGAGACUGCCGGUGACAAACCGGAGGAAGGUGGGGAUGACGUCAAAUCAUCAUGCCCCUUAUGACCUGGGCUACACACGUGCUACAAUGGCGUAUACAACGAGUUGCCAACCCGCGAGGGUGAGCUAAUCUCUUAAAGUACGUCUCAGUUCGGAUUGUAGGCUGCAACUCGCCUACAUGAAGUCGGAAUCGCUAGUAAUCGCGGAUCAGCACGCCGCGGUGAAUACGUUCCCGGGUCUUGUACACACCGCCCGUCACACCAUGAGAGUUUGUAACACCCAAAGCCGGUGGGGUAACCUUCGGGAGCCAGCCGUCUAAGGUGGUACAGGUGUUCCC
This 1458-nucleotide ribosomal RNA is filed under the name Weissella sp. NTU-112. RNAcentral's name for it is "bacterial SSU rRNA". It matches the Rfam family "Bacterial small subunit ribosomal RNA". Lineage: Bacteria; Bacillati; Bacillota; Bacilli; Lactobacillales; Lactobacillaceae. The record is from RNAcentral.